This 80-nucleotide small RNA is filed under the name Salmonella enterica subsp. enterica serovar Muenchen. Its description in RNAcentral is "partial RtT sRNA". It matches the Rfam family "RtT RNA", at positions 52 to 130 of the family's 130-position model. From Rfam's summary of the family: This family represents a bacterial cis-regulatory element known as RtT RNA. RNAcentral also lists the same sequence under 23 other names. Lineage: Bacteria; Pseudomonadati; Pseudomonadota; Gammaproteobacteria; Enterobacterales; Enterobacteriaceae. The record is from RNAcentral.
GCGCAGCGAGAAAGCGUUGCCGCAGGCAACGACCCGAAGGGCGAAGCGCGCAGCGCUGAGUCAUCCUUCCCCCACCACCA